RNAcentral lists this ribosomal RNA (640 nucleotides) under Neophysopella meliosmae-myrianthae. Its description in RNAcentral is "partial large subunit ribosomal RNA". It matches the Rfam family "Eukaryotic large subunit ribosomal RNA", at positions 10 to 636 of the family's 3401-position model. The record is from RNAcentral. Lineage: Eukaryota; Fungi; Basidiomycota; Pucciniomycetes; Pucciniales; Crossopsoraceae.
AUCAGGUGGGACUACCCGCUGAACUUAAGCAUAUCAAUAAGCGGAGGAAAAGAAACUAACAAGGAUUCCCCCAGUAACGGCGAGUGAAGAGGGAAAAGCCCAAAUUUGUAAUCUGGCUCUUUUAGAGUCCGAGUUGUAAUUUUGAGAACUGUUUUCUGUGCUGGACCAUGUUUAAGUCUGUUGAAAAACAGCAUCAUUGAGGGUGAUAAUCCCGUUCAUGAUAUGGACUACCAGUGCUCUAUGAUACAGUCUCUAAGAGUCGAGUUGUUUGGGAAUGCAGCUCAAAGUGGGUGGUAAAUUCCAUCUAAGGCUAAAUAUAGGUGAGAGACCGAUAGCAAACAAGUACCGUGAGGGAAAGAUGAAAAGAACUUUGGAAAGAGAGUUAACAGUACGUGAAAUUGCUGAAAGGGAAACAAUUGAAGUUAGCCUUGUUAUUUCCAGUUCAACCCUUUUAGGGUGUAUUCUGGUGAUUAACGACCAACAUCAGUCUUUGAGUGCUGGAUAAGGGUUUUGGAAAUGUAGCAGUCUAGGCUGUGUUAUAGUCCAUUACUUUGAUACAAUGCUUAGGAUUGAGGAUCGCAGUAAGCCAAUCUUGGUGGAUCAAUUUAUUGGUCUUCUUACUGAGGAUGUUGGUGAAAUA